UAGGUAAUAUACUUAAAAGAUACGAGAUAUAAGGAUGAAUGGUAUGUUGUGCAAAUGAUUGUACCAAGGGAUGUGUAUGACAUACAUAUUUGUUCUGAGAUAGAAAUAGAUGAGGAUUUCUUUCACAGAUGACUUGGGAUAGUACAGUGCCGACAUUGGAAGCACAUCUCCUCUGAUUAGAGAUGAUGUGUAACCUGAUAAUAUUGAUGUCAAUGAAUUAAAUCUGUACGUAUUAGAAGAUGAUGA
This 246-nucleotide long non-coding RNA is filed under the name Elaeis guineensis (African oil palm). RNAcentral describes it as "long non-coding RNA (EGUI_LNC037454)". Lineage: Eukaryota; Viridiplantae; Streptophyta; Magnoliopsida; Arecales; Arecaceae. The record is from RNAcentral.